This 468-nucleotide ribosomal RNA is filed under the name uncultured bacterium. RNAcentral describes it as "partial 16S ribosomal RNA". It matches the Rfam family "Bacterial small subunit ribosomal RNA", at positions 28 to 507 of the family's 1533-position model. The record is from RNAcentral.
GACGAACGCUGGCGGCGUGCUUAACACAUGCAAGUCGAACGGAAAGGCCCUGCUUUUGUGGGGUGCUCGAGUGGCGAACGGGUGAGUAACACGUGAGUAACCUGCCCUUGACUUUGGGAUAACUUCAGGAAACUGGGGCUAAUACCGGAUAGGAGCUCCUGCUGCAUGGUGGGGGUUGGAAAGUUUCGGCGGUUGGGGAUGGACUUGCGGCUUAUCAGCUUGUUGGUGGGGUAGUGGCUUACCAAGGCUUUGACGGGUAGCCGGCCUGAGAGGGUGACCAGCCACAUUGGGACUGAGAUACGGCCCAGACUCCUACGGGAGGCAGCAGUGGGGAAUAUUGCACAAUGGGCGGAAGCCUGAUGCAGCAACGCCGCGUGCGGGAUGACGGCCUUCGGGUUGUAAACCGCUUUCGCCUGUGACGAAGCGUGAGUGACGGUAAUGGGUAAAGAAGCACCGGCUAACUACGUG